RNAcentral lists this unclassified non-coding RNA (253 nucleotides) under uncultured Gammaproteobacteria bacterium. RNAcentral's name for it is "contains 16S-23S intergenic spacer region". It matches the Rfam family "Bacterial small subunit ribosomal RNA", at positions 524 to 776 of the family's 1533-position model. The record is from RNAcentral. Lineage: Bacteria; Pseudomonadati; Pseudomonadota; Gammaproteobacteria.
UACGGAGGGUGCGAGCGUUAAUCGGAAUUACUGGGCGUAAAGCGCGCGUAGGCGGCUGAUCAAGUCCGAUGUGAAAGCCCCGGGCUCAACCCGGGAAUGGCGUUGGAGACUGGUUGGCUAGAGUGCGACAGAGGGUGGUGGAAUUCCCGGUGUAGCGGUGAAAUGCGUAGAUAUCGGGAGGAACAUCGAUGGCGAAGGCAGCCACCUGGGUCGACACUGACGCUGAGGUGCGAAAGCGUGGGGAGCAAACAGG